This 69-nucleotide transfer RNA is filed under the name Caudoviricetes sp. RNAcentral describes it as "tRNA-Met". It matches the Rfam family "tRNA". From Rfam's summary of the family: Transfer RNA (tRNA) molecules are approximately 80 nucleotides in length. Their secondary structure includes four short double-helical elements and three loops (D, anti-codon, and T loops). The record is from RNAcentral. Lineage: Duplodnaviria; Heunggongvirae; Uroviricota; Caudoviricetes. RNAcentral also lists the same sequence under 1 other name.
GCGGAGUAGAGCAGUAGCAGCUCGCCACCCUCAUAAGGUGGGGCGUGGGUGCAAUUCCCGCCUCUCGCA